AACGCACAUUGCGCCCCCUGGUAUUCCGGGGGGCAUGCCUGUCCGAGCGUCAUUGCUGCCCUCAAGCACGGCUUGUUGUUGGGUCUACGUCCCCCCGGGGACGGGCCCGAAAGGCAGCGGCGGCAUCGCGUCCGGUCCUCGAGCGUAUGGGGCUUCGUCACCCGCUCUUGUAGGCCCGGCCGGCGCCAGCCGACCCCAACCAUUUUUCUCAGGUUGACCUCGGAUCAGGUAGGGAUACCCGCUGAACUUAA
This 251-nucleotide unclassified non-coding RNA is filed under the name uncultured fungus. RNAcentral describes it as "partial contains 5.8S ribosomal RNA, internal transcribed spacer 2, and large subunit ribosomal RNA". The stretch from base 1 to 52 matches the Rfam family "5.8S ribosomal RNA", at positions 103 to 154 of the family's 154-position model. Lineage: Eukaryota; Fungi. The record is from RNAcentral.